Molecule: ribosomal RNA, 497 nt
Filed under: uncultured bacterium
Lineage: Bacteria
Description: partial 16S ribosomal RNA
Rfam family: Bacterial small subunit ribosomal RNA
Source: RNAcentral
GAUGAACGCUGGCGGCGUGCCUAAUACAUGCAAGUCGAGCGAACAGAUGAGGAGCUUGCUCCUCUGACGUUAGCGGCGGACGGGUGAGUAACACGUGGAUAACCUACCUAUAAGACUGGGAUAACUUCGGGAAACCGGAGCUAAUACCGGAUAAUAUAUUGAACCGCAUGGUUCAAUAGUGAAAGACGGUUUUGCUGUCACUUAUAGAUGGAUCCGCGCCGCAUUAGCUAGUUGGUAAGGUAACGGCUUACAAAGGCAACGAUGCGUAGCCGACCUGAGAGGGUGAUCGGCCACACUGGAACUGAGACACGGUCCAGACUCCUACGGGAGGCAGCAGUAGGGAAUCUUCCGCAAUGGGCGAAAGCUUGACGGAGCAACGCCGCGUGAGUGAUGAAGGUCUUCGGAUCGUAAAACUCUGUUAUUAGGGAAGAACAAAUGUGUAAGUAACUAUGCACGUCUUGACGGUACCUAAUCAGAAAGCCACGGCUAACUACGUG